AAACAGAUCAGCACAGAAAAGGAAACAGUUGAGAACCUUCAACAAGCUACUGCCGACAAUAUCUUGGUUGAAGAAGCAACUAAAAUGAUCCACCAAGAACGUAAGAUCAAGGUUGAAGAAAAUCAACGAGAUAAUGAAGUCACAAAUGGACAGGUCGGAUAGAGAAUCAGACAACUUGCUUUCCUUUUUUGAGUUUUUAUUUAUUUUUUGCUUUUCUAAAAAGUGUAGAAACAUUUAUAAUUGUUAACUGAGAGGGAAAAAAUAACAGAUCAUGGAAGAGAAUGAUGACAAGAAAUGUGAGGAAAUAACCAACGAUGAAGACAGAGCUAAAGAGAGCUACCAAGAUCACGAGAUAAAGGGUGCAGAAAGUCUCGGAGACGAGGCAUUGACAACGGCAACACAAGAUGAAAGAGUAAGACUGUAACUAGUAAAAUUUAUUUACGUUCCAAGUAUUUCCAUUAUUAUGAAGUUUAAACCUUUAUUUGAAAUACAUAUAUGCAACAACAUCAAAAAGACUAAUGCAAGUGACACAAUUGAAAAACAGAUCAGCACAGAACGGGAAACAGUUGAACAUGAGAUCAAGGUUGACGAAAGUCAAGGAGACAAUGAAGUCACAAAUGAACAGGUUGGAUAGAGAAUCAGACAACUUGCUUGCUUUUUUUUUUUUUUUUUGCUAUUCUAAAAAGUGUAGAAACAUUUAUAAUUGUUAAUUAAUAACAGAUCAUGGAAGAGAAUGAUGACAAGAAAUGUGAGGAAAUAACCACUGAUGAAGACGAAGCUAAAGAGAACCACCAAGCUCACGAGAUAAAGGGUGCAGAAAGUCUCGGAGACGAGGCAUUGACAAAGGCAACACAAGAUGAAACAGUAGGACUAUAACUAGUGAAAUUUGUUUACAUUCUGAGGAUUUCCAUUAUUAUAAAGUUUAAGCCUUUAUUUGAAAUACAUAUAUGCAACACCAUUGAAAAGAGUACUAAUGCAACUGAGACAAUUGAAAACAGAUCAGCACAAAAGGGGAAACAGUUGAGAACAUUCAACAAGCUACUGCAGACAAUAUCUUGAUUGAAGAAGCAACUAAAAUGAUCCACCAAGAACAUGAGAUGAAGGGCAAAGAAAUUUUAGCAGAUGAUAUAUUAGCAAAGGAAGUGGUAAGACUAAAUGUCUUGAAUCUUGUUGUUGUCUAUUUCCUAACCUCUUCAUUAGUGUAAAGUAGAAACCUUUCAUGUAAAAUACAAUUAUGCAAGGCAACUGGAAAUACUGAUUCAAACAAUACAUUUGAGAAACAGAUCAGCACAGGGAAAGAAACAAUUGAGAACCUUCGCCAAGGUAUUCUUGACAAUGUCUUAAGUGAAGAAGCAACUAAAGUGAUCCACCAAGAAUAUGAGAUAAAGGGUGAAGAAAUUCUAGGAGAUAAAGCGUUAGUAGAGGAAACGCGAAGUGAAGCG
This 1442-nucleotide long non-coding RNA is filed under the name Manihot esculenta (cassava). RNAcentral describes it as "long non-coding RNA (MESC_LNC010491)". Lineage: Eukaryota; Viridiplantae; Streptophyta; Magnoliopsida; Malpighiales; Euphorbiaceae. The record is from RNAcentral.